UCAUGGGUAAAACUGUCGAAAGGCAGUGACACAAAGCCAAGGGUCUAAAGUCCAUCAGAGGACUAUGCCAGCCGGUUGCCAC
This 82-nucleotide non-coding RNA is filed under the name Anaerostipes rhamnosivorans. RNAcentral describes it as "Cyclic di-GMP-I riboswitch". It matches the Rfam family "c-di-GMP-I riboswitch aptamer". From Rfam's summary of the family: GEMM was predicted in a large-scale screen for bacterial structured RNA regulatory elements. Genes associated with GEMM are involved in a diverse array of functions, including chemotaxis regulation, signal transduction, secretion and chitin. Lineage: Bacteria; Bacillati; Bacillota; Clostridia; Lachnospirales; Lachnospiraceae. The record is from RNAcentral.